This 338-nucleotide ribosomal RNA is filed under the name uncultured Cercozoa. RNAcentral describes it as "partial 18S ribosomal RNA". It matches the Rfam family "Eukaryotic small subunit ribosomal RNA", at positions 1443 to 1764 of the family's 1831-position model. The record is from RNAcentral. Lineage: Eukaryota; Cercozoa.
GUUGAGGCCAANAANCAGGUCUNUUNAUGCCCCUUNAGAUGNUNCUGGUCCGCCACGCNGGGCUACAACUGAUACGUUCAUCGAGNUUUACAACCUUUGAUCGGAAGGUCCGGGGUAAUCCUUUUAAAAGCGUAUCGUGCUGGGGGAUAGAUUAUUGUAAUUAUUAAUCUUCAACGAGGAAUUCNUAGUAAACGCAAGUCAUCAACUUGCAUUGAUUACGUCCCUGCCCUUUGUACACACCGCCCGUCGCUACUACCGAUUGAAUGAUUUAGUGAGUUACAGGGACCNCGUCGCUUGGUUGGGUUUCCUUCCUUGCGAUGUUAGGAACUGUCACAAAU